This 379-nucleotide ribosomal RNA is filed under the name uncultured eukaryote. RNAcentral's name for it is "partial 18S ribosomal RNA". It matches the Rfam family "Eukaryotic small subunit ribosomal RNA", at positions 592 to 976 of the family's 1831-position model. The record is from RNAcentral.
CAAUAGCGUAUAUUAAAGUUGUUGCGGUAAAAAAGCUCGUAGUUGGAUUUCUGUUGAGAGCGACCGGUCCAUACAAUGUAUGCGUAUCUGGCUUGCUCUCGGCAUCCUCUCGAUAGACGUUACUGCGCUUGAUUGCGUGGUGCGGAUCUCGGGACUUUUACUUUGAGGAAAUUAGAGUGUUCACGGCAGGCUUUCGCCAGAAUACAUUAGCAUGGAAUAAUACUAUAGGAUCUUGGUUCUAUUUUGUUGGUUUCUAGAAUUGAGAUAAUGAUUAAUAGGGACAAUUGGGGGCAUUCGUAUCAACACGUCAGAGGUGGAAUUCUUGGAUUGUGUUGCGACGAACUACUGCGAAAGCAUUUGCCAAGGAUGUUUUCAUUGA